AGUUAUUCGCCCUGGAUCUGAGUCACCUUGGAACCACACACAAAAGUCGUCUCACUCUGUGUAAAAGGUAGUGAAGAUGCAACCCUUUGAAACAUUGCACGACAAUCGCCCUUCUGUGCCAAGGUACAACCUUCUGUAUUCGGUGCAGCUUUCGCAUAGCUCUUCGGUUGCCGGCCAUUGAACGAGCCACCGUUUUCCCUCGAAGCAUCUGCAAAUAGAAAUAACAAACCGUAAGAACGUAAGAGAGCCUUGAUCAUUCUUAUGAGCCGCUGAAAAUGCGAACGAAUAAGAGGACAUCACUGAGGUUUUGCCGAGGCAAUCUGAAGCAACUUCAGCCCUUUUGACCUCUGAACGUGCCACAUAUCGAACAAUUCAAACAUUGCAUUCAGACGAGAGAAACAGGCUCCCUAUUUCAACUCAGUUAUUCGUUAUUUUGGCUUCCUGUCAAAACCAGCACAAUCACCCAUUUUGCUCUGCUGAAUCCGCUUGAUUUAUGAAGGUGAACACAAUGGAGUAGCCAACGUGGUCAUCUACGGUACAGACGCCUCGGAUUUGUGUGAAGCGAUUAGCGGAGGACCGGAGUUGGCCACUUCUUCAAUGAAUGCUACCGUGAUGUAUCACUUCACUUCGUCAACAGAAAAAGGCGGUGCUCGGAAGGGCUGUACGAAUUACAUUGUUGUGAGACUUCCCCACACUAUGAACUCUGCCUUCUGCAGGAAAGCGUGCCUGACUUGGCUUAACGAGGCCCUCAUGAACUUCCUUUUCGUCAAAUGGACCGCUGCGUGAAGAACUGAAAUUGUCAAUGGCUCUCACGUGAAGCUGGGACCAUGAUGUUCAGCUUUACAGUGUGUUUUGUAGAGCUUCGGGCCUGGUUCCUUAGAUCGUUGGAAUCUUAUUUUCAGAUUAAGCGUACGUAGAUGGGGCUAGACCGUGCUGAUUAGAUUGAAUUUGUGAUGAAGAAUACCUAGAGGUAAGCCGAGCAGUAAUUAAGCAUGGCCGUCACAAAUACGUGGGAAGAGGAAUAUGGUGAUUGGAAGUAAAUGAGAUGAAAUUAACGGAGGAAAAUAAUAUAGGCGGAGGUACAGAAAUAACAAGCCGCGCGCGACGCAUGGCGUGUCCCUUAAGUAAAGUGCAUUGCAGCCAUAGUAUAUGUCGCUACCGUAUAGUGUAUCGAGUCACGUACUCUUAAAGCGCGUACUGGUUCAUAACGUGGUUCACAGCUGAACACAGGUUAAGGCCACACUUCUUGUUAUGAGCACAGGCAACCAACCGUGCUGCGAGGUGCGAGACCACUUUACCGAU
This is a long non-coding RNA of Ornithodoros turicata, 1302 nucleotides long. RefSeq lists it as uncharacterized. The record is from RefSeq and is a predicted model, not a curated record. Lineage: Eukaryota; Metazoa; Arthropoda; Arachnida; Ixodida; Argasidae. The transcript is spliced from 6 exons.